GAUGAACGCUAGCGGCAGGCCUAAUACAUGCCAGUCGAACGGGUGGUCGCAAGACCACUAGUGGCGCACGGGUGCGUAACGCGUAACCAACCUGCCCCGAUCUGGGGGAUAGCCCGCCGAAAGGCGGAUUAAUACCGCAUAUACCCGCAGCCUGGCAUCAGGCAACGGGGAAAGAUUUAUUGGAUCGGGAUGGGGUUGCGUGACAUUAGCUAGUUGGCGGGGUAAGGGCCCACCAAGGCGACGAUGUCUAGGGGACCUGAGAGGGUGAUCCCCCACACUGGCACUGAGAUACGGGCCAGACUCCUACGGGAGGCAGCAGUAGGGAAUAUUGGGCAAUGGGCGAGAGCCUGACCCAGCCAUGCCGCGUGCCGGAUGAAGGCCUUCUGGGUUGUAAACGGCUUUUCUCAGGGAAGAAAAAGACCUUGCGAGGUACACUGACGGUACCUGAGGAAUAAGCACCGGCUAACUCCGUG
Molecule: ribosomal RNA, 473 nt
Filed under: uncultured bacterium
Lineage: Bacteria
Description: partial 16S ribosomal RNA
Rfam family: Bacterial small subunit ribosomal RNA
Source: RNAcentral